GGAGAGAUGGCAGAGUGGUCGAUUGCGGCGGUCUUGAAAACCGUUGUACCGAAAGGUACCGGGGGUUCGAAUCCCCCCUACUCCGCAA
RNAcentral lists this transfer RNA (88 nucleotides) under Spirochaetaceae bacterium. RNAcentral's name for it is "tRNA-Ser". It matches the Rfam family "tRNA". Rfam says of the family: Transfer RNA (tRNA) molecules are approximately 80 nucleotides in length. Lineage: Bacteria; Pseudomonadati; Spirochaetota; Spirochaetia; Spirochaetales; Spirochaetaceae. The record is from RNAcentral.